UGCGUAGGUGGCCCGAUUAGUCAGAGGUGAAAGCCUAUAGCUUAACUAUAGAAUUGCCUUUGAUACUGUCGGGCUUGAAUUAGGACGAGGUCAGCGGAAUGUGACAUGUAGCGGUGAAAUGCAUAGAUAUGUCAUAGAACACCAAUUGCGAAGGCAGCUGACUAGACCUUGAUUGACACUGAGGCACGAAAGCGUGGGGAGCGAACAGGAUUAGAUACCCUGGUAGUCC
This 229-nucleotide ribosomal RNA is filed under the name uncultured bacterium. RNAcentral describes it as "partial 16S ribosomal RNA". It matches the Rfam family "Bacterial small subunit ribosomal RNA", at positions 568 to 796 of the family's 1533-position model. The record is from RNAcentral.